ACCAUCUGUUGCUUUGAUUUGUUUCUUUAUUGCUUUGGCUACUGUACAUGUAUAUAUAAAAAUUAAAUUUGUUUAAGGUAUAGUAAAUUUGGUUGGCCUUCUAAAUGUUGUGACUGCACACAAAUUUUUUUUUUUUGGGUUGUCUUCCUUUAUAAAAUAAAAAAAGGGCAGUAGGUUGAGUUUUUAUAUAAAGUCCAGUGAACUUUGGAAUUUUGUUUGGGAUUUAAAUUUGAAUAUUGGUAUUUAUAUGUAUAUUGAGAUGAAUUAAUUGAUCCAACAUGUUGCCAAAGUGACCUCUAUGGAAAUAAAUUAAUUUAUUUGAAAUAUAUAAACAGUUGAGUGUAUGUAAUUUAUGUGAAUAUUGAUUGGACCAAAGGAAAAUCUAUAUUUAGCAUGAUUGCAUAUGCACUUGUGGUAAUAAACACGUGAUAAUUAUUUGUUUUUUGCAUGUGAGUAAUGAAUCAGCCUAAAAGAAGAUUUAUUAUUCGACAUGUUAUCUUAUUGUCAGUGUUUAAUUACUAUAUCAAGAUAUCACUUACAAGUUAAUAUUUUUUCCAAAGAUGAAAUAUUAAUGGAGUGCCCGAUAUCUUGAGAUGGGGUUUGCCAUUAUUUGAAUUUAUUAUUCCAUUUUUUUUGGGUACUUAUGUGAGUUUAUUUGUUUUAUUUGUUUUAUUCUUAAUUCAGUUUCUACUCCUGCUGCUAAUAUCACUGCUAGUAUUAACUCCAUUCCUAUGCUAAAUGGCACGAAUUUUAACGCAUGGCAGGAGAGUGUAAUGAUCACUCUCGGAGUCAUGGAUCUAGACCUUGCAUUAAGGGUUCUCAAACUUACUAAUCUCACUGAUAAGAGUACCUCUAAUGAAAAGAUGGCAGGAGAGACUAAUGAUCACUCUCGGAGUCAUGGAUCUAGACCUUGCAUUAAGGGUUCUCAAACUUACUAAUCUCACUGAUAAGAGUACCUCUAAUGAAAAGAUGGCAGGAGAGAC
Molecule: unclassified non-coding RNA, 983 nt
Filed under: Hevea brasiliensis (rubber tree)
Lineage: Eukaryota; Viridiplantae; Streptophyta; Magnoliopsida; Malpighiales; Euphorbiaceae
Source: RNAcentral